UGUACGUUGUUUCCAAGCAGAAAUAUAUUUAUGGAAAAUUUUCCAACUUAAGUUAUACGAGUGUGUCGUAAGUGAACACAAUUUCGAAUGGUACGAGUAUCCACUGUCAUUUGGAAAUUGAUCAACUGCCGGAAAAUGUUAUUUUCGAAAGCAAUCAUUAACCGGCAUAAUUGUAGCUCAGGGGAAUCGCCCCUCGGCGGCUGCUGGCACGCCAGAAUCCCGGGAAUAGUAUAACUGACAUCUUUCAGACAAAUAAAAGGGAGAAACGAUGAAGGACUCAGUGGACACCCACUCGCUAUGUUCAAACGAAAAAGAAAAUAAAAGUUCGCUGAUGUGCGAAUAGUAAGUUAAGGUUUUGAGAAUAACACUUGACAAGAGUUUCUCCAAAACGUACAAAUGGAAAAAUUCUUAUUUAGUAUUUAAUAAAAUGUUCAACCAAUUGUUA
Molecule: long non-coding RNA, 445 nt
Organism: Drosophila obscura
Lineage: Eukaryota; Metazoa; Arthropoda; Insecta; Diptera; Drosophilidae
Exons: 2
Source: RefSeq, a predicted model, not a curated record